Molecule: non-coding RNA, 135 nt
Organism: Triticum urartu
Lineage: Eukaryota; Viridiplantae; Streptophyta; Magnoliopsida; Poales; Poaceae
Source: Rfam
UAUUUACUCCCUCCGUCCGGAAAUACUUGUCAUCAAAAUGGAUAAAAGGGGAUGUAUCUAAAUGUAUUUUAGUUCUAGAUACAUAUCUUUUUAUCCAUUUUGAUGACAAGUAUUUCCGGACGGAGGGAGUACAUU